GAUGAACGCUGGCGGCGUGCCUAAUACAUGCAAGUCGAGCGGACGGACGAGGCUCUUGCUUCUCUGAUGUUACCGACGGACGGGUAAGUAACACGUGGAUAACCUAGCUAUACGACUUAGAUAACUUCAAGAAACCGUAGCUAAGACCGGAAAAUAUUUUGAACCGCAUGGUUCAAAAGUUAAAGACGGUCUGGCUGUGACUUAUAGAUGGAUCCGCGCUGCAUUAGCUAGUUGGUAAGGUAACGGCUUACCGAGGCAACGAUGGAUAGCCGACCUGAGAGGGUGAUCGGCCACACUGGAACUGAGACACGGUCCAGACUCCUACGGGAGGCAGAAGUAGGGAAUCUUCCGCAAUGGGCGGAAGCCUGACGGAGCAACGCCGCGUGAGUGAUGAAGGUCUUCGGAUCGUAAGACUCUGUUAGUAGGGAAGAACAUAUGUGUAAGUAACUGUGCACAUCGUGACGGUACCUAAUCAGAAAGCCACGGCUAACUACGUG
Molecule: ribosomal RNA, 497 nt
Filed under: uncultured bacterium
Lineage: Bacteria
Description: partial 16S ribosomal RNA
Rfam family: Bacterial small subunit ribosomal RNA
Source: RNAcentral